RNAcentral lists this ribosomal RNA (2892 nucleotides) under Pseudomonas sp. MF6776. Its description in RNAcentral is "23S ribosomal RNA". It matches the Rfam family "Bacterial large subunit ribosomal RNA". The record is from RNAcentral. Lineage: Bacteria; Pseudomonadati; Pseudomonadota; Gammaproteobacteria; Pseudomonadales; Pseudomonadaceae.
GGUCAAGUGAAGAAGCGCAUACGGUGGAUGCCUUGGCAGUCAGAGGCGAUGAAAGACGUGGUAGCCUGCGAAAAGCUUCGGGGAGUCGGCAAACAGACUUUGAUCCGGAGAUGUCUGAAUGGGGGAACCCAGCCAUCAUAAGAUGGUUAUCUUGUACUGAAUACAUAGGUGCAAGAGGCGAACCAGGGGAACUGAAACAUCUAAGUACCCUGAGGAAAAGAAAUCAACCGAGAUUCCCUUAGUAGUGGCGAGCGAACGGGGACUAGCCCUUAAGUGGCUUUGAGAUUAGCGGAACGCUCUGGAAAGUGCGGCCAUAGUGGGUGAUAGCCCUGUACGCGAAAAUCUCUUAGUCAUGAAAUCGAGUAGGACGGAGCACGAGAAACUUUGUCUGAAUAUGGGGGGACCAUCCUCCAAGGCUAAAUACUACUGACUGACCGAUAGUGAACUAGUACCGUGAGGGAAAGGCGAAAAGAACCCCGGAGAGGGGAGUGAAAUAGAUCCUGAAACCGUAUGCGUACAAGCAGUGGGAGCAGACUUUGUUCUGUGACUGCGUACCUUUUGUAUAAUGGGUCAGCGACUUAUUUUCAGUGGCGAGCUUAACCGAAUAGGGGAGGCGUAGCGAAAGCGAGUCUUAAUAGGGCGUCUAGUCGCUGGGAAUAGACCCGAAACCGGGCGAUCUAUCCAUGGGCAGGUUGAAGGUUGGGUAACACUAACUGGAGGACCGAACCGACUACCGUUGAAAAGUUAGCGGAUGACCUGUGGAUCGGAGUGAAAGGCUAAUCAAGCUCGGAGAUAGCUGGUUCUCCUCGAAAGCUAUUUAGGUAGCGCCUCAUGUAUCACUGUAGGGGGUAGAGCACUGUUUCGGCUAGGGGGUCAUCCCGACUUACCAAACCGAUGCAAACUCCGAAUACCUACAAGUGCCGAGCAUGGGAGACACACGGCGGGUGCUAACGUCCGUCGUGAAAAGGGAAACAACCCAGACCGUCAGCUAAGGUCCCAAAGUUAUGGUUAAGUGGGAAACGAUGUGGGAAGGCUUAGACAGCUAGGAGGUUGGCUUAGAAGCAGCCACCCUUUAAAGAAAGCGUAAUAGCUCACUAGUCGAGUCGGCCUGCGCGGAAGAUGUAACGGGGCUCAAACCAUACACCGAAGCUACGGGUAUCACUUAGGUGAUGCGGUAGAGGAGCGUUCUGUAAGCCUGUGAAGGUGAGUUGAGAAGCUUGCUGGAGGUAUCAGAAGUGCGAAUGCUGACAUGAGUAACGACAAUGGGUGUGAAAAACACCCACGCCGAAAGACCAAGGUUUCCUGCGCAACGUUAAUCGACGCAGGGUUAGUCGGUCCCUAAGGCGAGGCUGAAAAGCGUAGUCGAUGGAAAACAGGUUAAUAUUCCUGUACUUCUGGUUAUUGCGAUGGAGGGACGGAGAAGGCUAGGCCAGCUUGGCGUUGGUUGUCCAAGUUUAAGGUGGUAGGCUGGAAUCUUAGGUAAAUCCGGGAUUCUAAGGCCGAGAGCUGAUGACGAGUCAUCUUUUAGAUGACGAAGUGGUUGAUGCCAUGCUUCCAAGAAAAGCUUCUAAGCUUCAGGUAACCAGGAACCGUACCCCAAACCGACACAGGUGGUUGGGUAGAGAAUACCAAGGCGCUUGAGAGAACUCGGGUGAAGGAACUAGGCAAAAUGGCACCGUAACUUCGGGAGAAGGUGCGCCGGUGAGGGUGAAGGACUUGCUCCGUAAGCUCAUGCCGGUCGAAGAUACCAGGCCGCUGCGACUGUUUAUUAAAAACACAGCACUCUGCAAACACGAAAGUGGACGUAUAGGGUGUGACGCCUGCCCGGUGCCGGAAGGUUAAUUGAUGGGGUUAGCUAACGCGAAGCUCUUGAUCGAAGCCCCGGUAAACGGCGGCCGUAACUAUAACGGUCCUAAGGUAGCGAAAUUCCUUGUCGGGUAAGUUCCGACCUGCACGAAUGGCGUAACGAUGGCGGCGCUGUCUCCACCCGAGACUCAGUGAAAUUGAAAUCGCUGUGAAGAUGCAGUGUAUCCGCGGCUAGACGGAAAGACCCCGUGAACCUUUACUAUAGCUUUGCACUGGACUUUGAAUUUGCUUGUGUAGGAUAGGUGGGAGGCUUUGAAGCGUGGACGCCAGUUCGCGUGGAGCCAACCUUGAAAUACCACCCUGGCAACUUUGAGGUUCUAACUCAGGUCCGUUAUCCGGAUCGAGGACAGUGUAUGGUGGGUAGUUUGACUGGGGCGGUCUCCUCCUAAAGAGUAACGGAGGAGUACGAAGGUGCGCUCAGACCGGUCGGAAAUCGGUCGUAGAGUAUAAAGGCAAAAGCGCGCUUGACUGCGAGACAGACACGUCGAGCAGGUACGAAAGUAGGUCUUAGUGAUCCGGUGGUUCUGUAUGGAAGGGCCAUCGCUCAACGGAUAAAAGGUACUCCGGGGAUAACAGGCUGAUACCGCCCAAGAGUUCAUAUCGACGGCGGUGUUUGGCACCUCGAUGUCGGCUCAUCACAUCCUGGGGCUGAAGCCGGUCCCAAGGGUAUGGCUGUUCGCCAUUUAAAGUGGUACGCGAGCUGGGUUUAGAACGUCGUGAGACAGUUCGGUCCCUAUCUGCCGUGGACGUUUGAGAUUUGAGAGGGGCUGCUCCUAGUACGAGAGGACCGGAGUGGACGAACCUCUGGUGUUCCGGUUGUCACGCCAGUGGCAUUGCCGGGUAGCUAUGUUCGGGAAAGAUAACCGCUGAAAGCAUCUAAGCGGGAAACUUGCCUCAAGAUGAGAUCUCACUGGAACCUUGAGUUCCCUGAAGGGCCGUCGAAGACUACGACGUUGAUAGGUUGGGUGUGUAAGCGCUGUGAGGCGUUGAGCUAACCAAUACUAAUUGCCCGUGAGGCUUGACCAU